AGUGAACGCUGGCGGUAGGCCUAACACAUGCAAGUCGAACGGCAGCACAGUAAGAGCUUGCUCUUACGGGUGGCGAGUGGCGGACGGGUGAGGAAUACAUCGGAAUCUACUUUUUCGUGGGGGAUAACGUAGGGAAACUUACGCUAAUACCGCAUGCGACCUACGGGUGAAAGCAGGGGAUCUUCGGACCUUGCGCGAUUGAAUGAGCCGAUGUCGGAUUAGCUAGUUGGCGGGGUAAAGGCCCACCAAGGCGACGAUCCGUAGCUGGUCUGAGAGGAUGAUCAGCCACACUGGAACUGAGACACGGUCCAGACGCCUACGGGAGGCAGCAGUGGGGAAUAUUGGACAAUGGGCGCAAGCCUGAUCCAGCCAUACCGCGUGGGUGAAGAAGGCCUUCGGGUUGUAAAGCCCUUUUGUUGGGAAAGAAAAGCAGCAGGUUAAUACCCCGCUGUUCUGACGGUACCCAAAGAAUAAGCACCGGCUAACUUCGUG
Molecule: ribosomal RNA, 492 nt
Filed under: uncultured bacterium
Lineage: Bacteria
Description: partial 16S ribosomal RNA
Rfam family: Bacterial small subunit ribosomal RNA
Source: RNAcentral